This is a non-coding RNA of Camelina sativa (false flax), 451 nucleotides long. Lineage: Eukaryota; Viridiplantae; Streptophyta; Magnoliopsida; Brassicales; Brassicaceae. The record is from RefSeq and is a predicted model, not a curated record.
UGACACUUUAAUUUUUCUUGUGUGGAUUCUUUGACAAACGGAAGUCCACUUCUCACACACAAACAAAUUCCGGACAUCGCAUUUGUCAAUUUUUCUCAUAUCUCUCUCUCCAAAAAAAACACGAGAGAGAGAGAGACGUAGACACAAAGUCACAAGAACCCAAAAGCUUGAAUCAUCUUUCCAAAAAUUUGAUGUUUUCUUUUUUACUUUCAUUUCUUUUGAGAAACGAGAAAAUGGGUUCACGGGUUUAUUAUUGCAUAGUGCAUACUAGUAUUAUGUGUUCGGUGAAUAUAUUGUCUCAGUGUAGUGUACGUACCAUCUAACCAUCACCUCCUCUGUUAUGGCUGCUGCGUGGGGCCAUGUGAAUGUGAUUCAAGAACUGUGGAGGAGUUAGAGGGACGGUCAACAACUCUGACUUGCUUGCCAACAAGGAAGAAUCUAUCAACCCCCA